ACAGAGGGGGCAAGCGUUGUCCGGAAUUACUGGGCGUAAAGAGCACGUAGGCGGUCGCGCAAGUGGUGUGUGAAACCAAUCAGCUUAACUGAUUGACGCCAUGCCAAACUGCGCGACUCGAGUCAUGGAGAGGUUAUUCGAAUUGCUGGUGUAGUGGUGAAAUGCGUAGAGAUCAGCAGGAAGACCAAGGGCGAAAGCAGAUAACUGGCCAUGCACUGACGCUCAGGUGCGAAAGCGUGGGGAGCAAACUGGAUUAGAUACCCAGGUAGUCCACGCUGUAAACGAUGUAUGCUCGGUAUGUGUGCCUGUUAAGGGCAUGGGUACCUUAGGAAACCCGGUAAGCAUACCGCCUGGGAAGUACGAACGCAAGUUUA
RNAcentral lists this ribosomal RNA (374 nucleotides) under uncultured bacterium. Its description in RNAcentral is "bacterial SSU rRNA". It matches the Rfam family "Bacterial small subunit ribosomal RNA", at positions 525 to 896 of the family's 1533-position model. The record is from RNAcentral.